GACGAACGCUGGCGGCGUGCCUAAUACAUGCAAGUUGAGCGCUGAAGGUUGGUACUUGUACCAACUGGAUGAGCAGCGAACGGGUGAGUAACGCGUGGGGAAUCUGCCUUUGAGCGGGGGACAACAUUUGGAAACGAAUGCUAAUACCGCAUAAAAACUUUAAACACAAGUUUGAAGUGUGAAAGAUGCAAUUGCAGCACUCAAAGAUGAUCCCGCGUUGUAUUAGCUAGUUGGUGAGGUAAAGGCGCACCAAGGCGAUGAUACAUAGCAGAACUGAGAGGGUGGUCGGCCAGCUUGAGAGUGUGACCCGCCCCAAUCUCCUUCGGGUGGCAGCCGUAGGGCAUCUUCAGCCAUCGGCGGAAGUCUGUCCGCGCUGCGCCGAGUCCGUAAAGAGGGUUUUCGGGUCGUGGAACUCUGUUGGUAGGGAAGAACGUUGGUGCGACUGGAAAGCACAUCGAGUGACGGUAACUACCCAGAAAGCGACGGCUAACUACGUG
RNAcentral lists this ribosomal RNA (497 nucleotides) under uncultured bacterium. RNAcentral's name for it is "partial 16S ribosomal RNA". It matches the Rfam family "Bacterial small subunit ribosomal RNA", at positions 28 to 507 of the family's 1533-position model. The record is from RNAcentral.